AGAGUUUGAUCCUGGCUCAGGACGAACGCUGGCGGCGUGCUUAACACAUGCAAGUCUUACGAGAAAAGGGUAGCAAUAUCCUGAGUAAAGUGGCGCACGGGUGAGUAACACGUAGGCAAUUUGCCUUUAGGACGGGAACAACCACGCGAAAGUGUGGCUAAUACCCGAUGAUGCAGCGGCUCCGCAUGGAGACAGUUGUUAAACCCCGCAAGGGGCCUAUUGAUGAGCCUGCGUCUGAUUAGCUAGUUGGUGAGGUAACGGCCCACCAAGGCAACGAUCAGUAGCUGGUCUGAGAGGAUGAUCAGCCACACUGGAACUGAGACACGGUCCAGACUCCUACGGGAGGCAGCAGUGAGGAAUAUUGCGCAAUGGCCGAAAGGCUGACGCAGCGACGCCGCGUGAAGGAUGAAGUUCGUUAGAAUGUAAACUUCUUUUGUAGGGGAUGAAUGUUCCGUUUUACGGAAUGACCGUACCCUGCGAAUAAGAU
RNAcentral lists this ribosomal RNA (487 nucleotides) under uncultured Desulforegula sp. RNAcentral describes it as "bacterial SSU rRNA". It matches the Rfam family "Bacterial small subunit ribosomal RNA", at positions 8 to 492 of the family's 1533-position model. The record is from RNAcentral. Lineage: Bacteria; Pseudomonadati; Thermodesulfobacteriota; Desulfobacteria; Desulfobacterales; Desulforegulaceae.